Molecule: ribosomal RNA, 433 nt
Filed under: uncultured bacterium
Lineage: Bacteria
Description: partial 16S ribosomal RNA
Rfam family: Bacterial small subunit ribosomal RNA
Source: RNAcentral
AGCGAACGCUGGCGGCAGGCUUAACACAUGCAAGUCGAGCGGGCACUUCGGUGUCAGCGGCAGACGGGUGAGUAACACGUGGGAACGUACCCUUCGGUUCGGAAUAACGCUGGGAAACUAGCGCUAAUACCGGAUACGCCCUUUUGGGGAAAGGUUUACUGCCGAAGGAUCGGCCCGCGUCUGAUUAGCUAGUUGGUGGGGUAAUGGCCUACCAAGGCGACGAUCAGUAGCUGGUCUGAGAGGAUGAUCAGCCACACUGGGACUGAGACACGGCCCAGACUCCUACGGGAAGGAGCAGUGGGGAAUAUUGGACAAGGGGCGCAAGCCUGAUCCAGCCAUGCCGCGUGAGUGAUGAAGGCCUUAGGGUUGUAAAGCUCUUUUGUCCGGGACGAUAAUGACGGUACCGGAAGAAUAAGCCCCGGCUAACUUCGUG